Molecule: long non-coding RNA, 206 nt
Filed under: Lathyrus oleraceus (garden pea)
Lineage: Eukaryota; Viridiplantae; Streptophyta; Magnoliopsida; Fabales; Fabaceae
Description: Pisum sativum (pea) long non-coding RNA (PSAT_LNC030462)
Source: RNAcentral
AUUUUUUAAUAUGGAAAAAAAUCAAAACAAGUAAUAUUCUGAUUUGGUAUUUUUAUUGUAUUGAUCAACAUUUGUUUUUUUCCCUUUUUUAUUUGACCUAAUUAUUGAGUAUAAAAGGGGGUCCAAUUUGUUGAUAGAAGGAUAAACAAUUACACUAGAAAAUCGAGAGAAACAUUUACACUCAAACCACCAAUAACAACAUCAUC